This 299-nucleotide ribosomal RNA is filed under the name Chrysochromulina sp. RNAcentral describes it as "partial small subunit ribosomal RNA". It matches the Rfam family "Eukaryotic small subunit ribosomal RNA", at positions 412 to 711 of the family's 1831-position model. The record is from RNAcentral. Lineage: Eukaryota; Haptophyta; Prymnesiales; Chrysochromulinaceae.
CAUCCAAGGAAGGCAGCAGGCGCGUAAAUUACCCAAUCCUGACACAGGGAGGUAGUGACAAUAAAUAACAAUGCCGGGCCUUUGUAGGUCUGGCAAUUGGAAUGAGAACAAUUUAAACCCCUUAUCGAGUAUCAAUUGGAGGGCAAGUCUGGUGCCAGCAGCCGCGGUAAUUCCAGCUCCAAUAGCGUAUAUUAAAGUUGUUGCAGUUAAAAAGCUCGGAGUUGGAUUUGUGGUGUACUUCGGCGGUCCGCCACUAUGUGAUGGAGCUUGCUGAAGUCGCCCUCCUUGGGGGCAUCCUG